RNAcentral lists this long non-coding RNA (22227 nucleotides) under Physcomitrium patens. RNAcentral describes it as "long non-coding RNA (PPAT_LNC000497)". Lineage: Eukaryota; Viridiplantae; Streptophyta; Bryopsida; Funariales; Funariaceae. The record is from RNAcentral.
UAGGAUUUAUGGUUUAGGGUUUGAAUUAAGGUUUGGUUUAGGAUUAGGAUUUGGUUAGGGUUUGGUUUAGGGAUUAGGAUUUGGAUUAGGGUUUGAUUUAGGAUUUAGGAUUUGAAUUAGGAUUUGAUUAGGAUUUAUUUAGGAUUUAGGGUUUGGUUAGGAUUUGUUUAGGAUUUGGUUUAGGAUUUAGUUAGGGUUUUAUUUAGGAUUUAGGAUUUUAUUAGGAUUUAAGAUUCAAUUAGUUUUGGCCUAAAGUUUUAAUGAAGUUCAAUAGGAUUUUAACUAGAAUUAAAUUAAGAUUGAAUUGAGAUAUAUUUAUGUGAUAUUUGUGAUCCUUCUAAUAUUUCUUUAAGAAUUUUUAUUGUUUGUUUGAAAUUUCUUUGAGGUUUUUUUGAAUUUGAUUAAGCUUGCUUAGCAUUAUUAUGGUCUAAUUAGAGCAUUAUUAGUAUUCUAUUAGAAUUAGGAUUUUGUUAUUACAAUUUCCAUUCUUCCUUCUACAGCCAAGUGCCCGGAGCAUUUUCAAGCAAGACUUCAUAUAUUACGACAUAUUUGGUGAACCCGACAUGAAACGCUUGAAAUAGAAGGAAUUUGGUUUUCUUGGAUUAUUUGAAUUUUAGAGAAGAAAUACAAGAAAAUUGGGAGGUUUGAAGGAUGGAACUUCACUAAGUUUUUGCAAGUUUAUACAUGUGAGAUGGAGACAUGUCAAAUCCUUGAGGCAAAGAUGAUCUCAAGCUUACAUUUGGCUAUUGAACCUAGAUUUCAUAAACAAGUGAAGAAAUUGCUUGGAGGGGAUGUAGAAACAUGGUCAAUAUUUCAAGAACUUUUGAAGGAAGAAUUUAUUGAUGGAAAUGGGGAUAAGAUUACUAAGCGAAAGUUUUUGGUUUGGAUAGAGUUGCAAUCAAGCAAGCAUAUGGAUCUUUAUGAAUUCUUAGAAGAAUUUGAUAGAAGAUUUUAUCAACUCUCAUCCUUGGAGAGACGAUCAUUGGGUGCUUUAAAGGUAGAUUUGUUUUUACAUGGUCUUGAUAAUGCCUUGGGAGAUGAGGUUUUCAUGCUUCUUGAAGAUGAGUCUACGGAGAGUGAUUAUACUAAUAAUUGGGAGAAGUUGAAGGAAGUAGUGGUUGUUUUAGUAAAGCAACAAGAAGCAAAAGCUAAGAAGUUCCAAUGUGGCCUAAGAAAUCUUCUACUUUGGCUUCUAUGUCAUCUUUAUCAAUGCAAGGGAUUAAUCUUAAAAAAAAAGAAAUAGAAGAGCAAAUAGGGGAUUUUAAUGGAGAAGCCAAUUCUUUACAGAUGAAAGAAAUUGGAUCUUAUACCAAGGGUGGUGAAGGAGAGAAGAAAGAUUCUUUUCAAACUAUUACUAUGGAAGGCCAAGGUAUCCAAAAAUUUGAAGGUAAUGUGAAGAUUAAGGAUUUGGAAACUAAUGACAAUGUAGUUGGAAGCUAUGACUAUUCUAUAUUAAAUAAGCUUGUGCAAGUUGGUGAUGGCAAUUUGGGUAAAAAAUCUCUUGGUGAUAAAAAGGUAUUUUCUACAUUUGAAGGAGGUGAGGAUGUUUUGCCUAUUACGUUGGAUUGUGUUGAAGAAUUUAAGGUUGAAUCUUUACAAAAAAUGGAUUAUGGAUCCAUUGAAGGUUAUAAUCAUGAAGAUUGUAUGAAUUCACAACAUUAUGAUGUGAGAAGUGGUGGGAUUAUGCAUGGAUAUGAUGAUAAAAAUCAAAUUGCAUAUGGCUAUGAGACCACAUAUGAGUUGGGUGAAAGAAGUUAUGAGUUUUCACAUGAUUAUUAUAAAGAGGGUUAUGAAAUUGCACAAGGUUAUGAUACUAAAUGUAGUUGUGAAACCACAAAGGAUUAUUGUGAAAGUUAUGAGACUUUUCAAGAGCAUGAGAUUUCAAAGGAGCAUGAGAAUUUUCAAUAUUAUGAGGUUAUACAAUGCUUUGAGACAAUAAAAGAUUAUGAUGUUUUACAAGGAUGCAUUCAAGAAGAUAUGAAGGAUGUUAUACAAGAUUAUGUGGCAAAUGAAGUUUAUGGGACAGUGUCAAGGACAAGAACUCGAUGAAAAAAUAAUUCAGACAAGUGAGCCUUCACUCAAAGAGAGAUAACAAAAUAUAUAUAAACAAGUAUAUAUAUUGAAAUAGAAACUGGAAUGGCUAUUGCUAAAAGACAAGAAAACUAGAGACCCUUGAAACUAGACUAGAAGCAAGAAAGGAGUUGACAAGAGUGAAGAAGCCUUCACUCUUGUCUGUAUAUAUACUAUCUAACUAGGAGCUACGUGGCGACGUUCUAUAGGACCUCCAAUAUGUGUUGAUUUUGUAGGACACAUGCCUUGACUUACAAGGCAAGUUUUUUCUACGUGUGGGCCACAUAGUUAGCUUGAUCUUCAAGCUAACAACAUGUGUGGCACAUGGCCAACUUGUUGACCACGUUUCUAAUCCAAAAAAUCAAUUAAAGACACCUAUAAAGUCAAAGCAGUGUCUAGGGAGCUUCUAAAAAGCUUCCAUAUUAAAUAUUAUAGAAUUAACUUACUUUUACCUACUUUUACUUACUUCCACCUAUUUGUAUAUGUAAUUAUUAGCUUACAUGAUUAUGGCCAUGACAGACAGAAGAUAAGGAUGCUAAGUCAUUGACUAUGAUUAACUUAAUUGUGAGUACUUUUCUUUUGGACCAAGGUCAAAGUUACAUAAAUAAUGCACAUGUAAUGGAGACACAAUUGGAUUUUCACAAAGAUAAGGUUUAUCAUCAAGUAUGGAAUUCAAGGGUUGAAAAUCUAAAAAUCUUUAAAUAUAAAGAUGAGAGAAAUGGAUUUAAAGAUUACUUGGAUACCAUAAAUGGGACUUGGAAUCAAAGAAAUAAGAAAAAAGAUACAAACAAGAUAUAUGUGGCUAUGCGGAAGAGGUUUCAAUUCAAUCUUUUAAUUUCAAAUUUUGUACCUCGUCAAUGGUUUGAUCAUGUGUAAAGGAGGAUAUUUGUAAACUACUUGCACACGAGGAGUAAAUGGUAACAUUGGCAUUAACUAUGGAGGUAAAAAAAAGAAGGAGGUAUUCUUACAAGAUAUAGAUGCCUUUGAUUUCAAUUUUAUUGAAAAAAAAAAAUAAAAAUAAAAAUGGAGAAGUAUCAUUGUAAAGCAAGACUAUGGAGUUAUAAAAAGGAAGGUACAUUUACAAGAUAUAGAUGCCUUUGAUUUAAGUUUUAUUCAAAAAAAAAAAAAAAAAAAAGAUUUUGGAGAAGUAUUAUUGUAAAGCAAGACUAUGAAGGUAUAAAACAGAAGAUACAUUUAUAAGAUAUAGAUGCGUUUGAUUUCAAUUUUAUUGGGAAAAAAAAAAGAUUUUGAAAAAGUAUCAUUGUAAAGCAAGACUAUGGAGGUAUGAAAAGGAGGUACUUUUAUAAGAUGUAGGUACUUUUGAUUCAAGUUUAUUGGCAUUCAAUAUAUAUAUGUAUAUAUAUAUAUAUAUAUAUAUAUAUAUAUAUAUAUAUAUAUAUAAGUUAUGAAUAUUAAAAGAUGAUGAGAGAUUUUUGGUAUUUAUCAAGAAAAUGGAUUGGAAGAUUUUUGAAAAAAAUUACAUAUAUUAAAUUAAAGGAUGAUGGUAAUGGAAGCGAGUGAAGAUAUUUAAAUAAAAUCAAAUAUAAAUAAUUAUAGAAGACUUUAUCAAAGAUAUAAAUCUUUCAAGACAACAAGAUGACUUUGAUUUGAAUAGCAAAUAUGAAGAACACGAAUUGGAUGAGGAUAUUGAAAAUAUUGUAUAAAUCAAACAAAGUUGGAUUAUUUGGUACAUACCGGAGGAUGCAAAAGUUUAAGGGGGGUGGAUGUCGUGAUGUAACACGGAUAACAAGUGAAAGGGUGAAGAAAAUAUCAUGUUUUGAGGAUCUCACUUCAAAAAUAUUAUAGCAAAUUAUCUUGGAAAAAUAGAUAUUAGUCAAAGGAUAGAAAAAUUAAAGGUGCCAAUGUGUCAAGGACAAGAAUUCAAUGAAAAAGAAAUUCAGACAAGUGAGCCUUUACUCAAAGAAAGAUAACAAAAUACAAAUAAACAAGUAUGUAUAUUGAAAGAGAAACUGGAAUGGCUAUUGCCAAAAGACAAGAAAACUAGAGAUCCUUGAAACUAGACUAGAAGCAAGAAAAGACUUCACAAGAGUGAAGAGGGCUUCACUCUUGUCUCUAUAUAUACUAUCUAACUAGGGGCUAUAUGGCGACGUUCUAUAGGACCUCCAAUACGUGUUGACUUUGUAGGACACAUGCCUUGACUUACAAGGCAAGUUUUUCUAUGUGUGGGCCAUAUAGUUAGCUUGAUCUUCAAGCUAACAACAUGUGUGGCACAUGGCCAACUUAUUGACCACGUUUCUAAUCCAAAAAGUUAAUUAAAAACACCUAUGAAGUCAAAGUAGCAUCUAUGAAGCUUCUAGAAAGCUUCCAUAUUAAAUAUUAUAGAAUUAACUUACUUUUACCUACUUUUACUUACUUCCAUCUAUUUGUAUAUGUAAUUACUAGCUUACAUGAGUAUAUCCGUGACAUUACCCCCCCUUUUAGAGAUGAGUUCCACAAGGAGCUGUCAUCAUAUGUUGAAAAAAUCUAUGAUGUGACGAAUUAUAUUUGCCACAUACUCUUAUCUUUGUUCUCUUUAAAGACGAUUGAUAGGGCCUCUCAACCAUCGGUAGUGUCCCAUACCAAGGCGGGAAGACCAUCCAGUUAUUUGAUCAUUGUUGAGGCCUUCAUAACUUCCUUCGAAUAGAACAUUUGGAACACCAUCAGGAGUUGUUCCUACCUCUAGUAAAAUCACUAAACAUCGGGAGUCCCUUCUCAAACCGUGAUACCAAAUGCGUUGUAUCUCGCCAUCUAUUCGAGGAAGAACAUGUCAUUCUUGAAGAUCUUCAUUUCGAUUGUGUCAUCUUGAAGGUUGUGACAAUCGUAAUGUCUCGUCCGACAAGUCAGCAAAUGAAGGCUCUUGAGUUGAAUCCGCUGGUUGUUGGUUCUCCAUCUCCUGAGCGUCACAACUACAAAGAAGCUACGAACAACGAUUGAAAAUAGAAUGUUAUCUUGCUUAGAUAUUGUUUCUUUUAUAAAGAAGGUUUUCAUCUUGAUUUUGAUGGAUGUCAUCGAUGAAAAGCCUCCAUCGCCUUUGCUGCAUUUACAAGAUUCUUUAUUGGCUCCCAUGUGCGUUCACUAAUAUCAUAUCCUCGCCAAUAGACAAGAUAUUCCAAUUUAUUUCGGUGUCGCCUUGAAUCUAAAACUUCUUUUACUUCAAAUUCUUCAUUAUUGUCCACUUGUAUAGGAUGAGGUGGAGCUUGUCGUCUUCGUGGUAUAUACACUGUCUUGUAUGGUUCAAGAAGAGACACGUGGAAUACUAGAUGGAUUUUCAUUAACAACGAUAGAUGUAAACGAUAUGUAACUGGAUUGAUUUGUACAGAAAAAGAAAAUGGUCUAAGUCUUUGAUAGUUCAACUUAUCACAAGGACGAGUGGUCUUGAUAUUGCGACAAAGUAGUCAUACCUUAUCACCUAAGAGGAAUGGUGGUUGUUCCUUUCGAUAGACAUCCGCAUUGACCUUUUGUUAUUCUUGAGCCUCUUUUCACUACGCCUUUAUCAUUGCAUGUAGCUCUGAUAAAUGAAUCGCCAAAUCUUUCGUAGCAGGAUUAUCAACUUUUAAAAAGUCAAAAGUAUCAAGUUGUGGAUGAUAACCAUAAUUAGCAAAGAAAGGUGUUUGUUUUGUAGAAGAAUGUACCGUGUUUUUGUAAGCAAACUCUGCCAAUGGCAAAAGAGUUGUCCAAUCAUCUUGUUGGUAAUUAAUGGUACAUCUUAAAUAUUGCUCCAAAACUUGAUUAACAUGCUCCGUUUGUCCAUCAAUUUGAGGAUGGAAUGUCGAAGAUAGUUUUAUAUCUAUUUUAAGAAUCUUAAAAAGAGUCUACUAAAAUCUUGAUACAAAUUGAGUUCUUCUAUCUGAUAUAAUAUCCUUGGGUAAUCCAUGAUAGCGAUAGAUAUUGUCAAGAAAGAGCUUAGCUGUUUCUUCACCUGUGAUAGAUUUUGUACAUGGUACAAAAUAUGCCAUCUUGGUAAAAAAAUCUACUAUCACGAAUAUAGAGUCAUAAGAACCUAAGAUUGGAAGAUCCAUGAUGAAGUCCAUAGAAACAGAAGACCAUAGUUAUUCUUGAAUGGGUAAUGGCUGAAGAACUCCAAAAGGUCGAUGACGAGGAGUUUUUGAUCUUGAGCAAACAUCACAUGAUUGUACAAAAUCUUUGACUACCUUCUACAUUUGAGGCCACCAAAAAUCCCUAGAUAUCACCUCCAAAGUCUUAUUAUAUCCAAAAUAUCCUGCUGCAGGAAAGUCAUGACGAGCUUGAAGAAUACGUAAACGUGCUUCUCCUUCUGGAACAUAUAGACAUUCUUUGAAAUAGAAUAGAUUGUUCUUGAAUUCAAAUUUAGAGGGAUCAUGAGAUUUAGAAGAAUUAUUCUUGAUAUCAUGAACAAGAGGAUCUGAAGACAUACUUAAUUAAACUUACUUAAGAAAAGUUAAAUCAACAGUCAAUGUUGAUUUUAUUGCUUGAAGAUGAAAUUGCUCUAGCUUCAAGAGAACCAUUCUUUGUUGCUCAAAAGCUACAUCUCCUUCUUUUGGUGCAAGAUAAGAAUGUCUAGACAAGGCAUCGAACAAAUCUUAUUGUUUUCCUGGCCAAUAAGUGAUGUUGAACUCGUAUCUUGAUAAAGACAUGCUCCAACGAGCUUGACGACGAUUUAAUACACGUACUGAUAUAAAAUACUUGAGGUUCUUGUGAUUCGUUUACACAAUGAUUGGACUAGAAGCGCCUUCAAGAUAAUGAUGCCACUCUUUAAAAGAAUCUACGAUUGUAAGAAGUUCUUUGUCGUGGAUCUCAUAAUUGAUUAAUGCUGUUGAGAAUUUUCUUGAAUGAAACGCUACUAGAUGAAGUUUGUCAUCUGUUCUCAUUUGUGAUAAAACCGCACCCAGAGCAAAGUCUGAUACAUUUGUUUCCAUAAAGAAUGCUUUGGAUAACUCAACAUGAUACAAGAUUGGUGCAGAAACAAACACUGUCUUCAAAGAUUCAAAAGUAACUUCCGCUUCUUGAUUCCAUUAGAAUUUGUCUUUACAAGUCAAACGUGUAAGUAGAGCUGCAACUCGAGAGAAGUCCUUGAUGAAGAUUCGAUAGUAGUUGGAAAAUCCCAAAAAACAUUGGACAUCUCUUACCAUUUUUGAGAUCUUCCAAUCUAUAAUAGUUUGAACUUUCUUAGGAUCCAUCAUAAGUCCAUCAUUUGAAAUGAUGUAACCUAAGAAAUCGACUUGAGUAGUGUGGAAUACUCACUUUUCUAUCUUGGCAUAGAGUCCUGCAUCUCUUAAUUUUUGUAACACAUGACGAACAUGAAGUUCAUGUUCUUCUAGAUUCUUAGAAUAAAUCAAGAUGUCAUCUAGAUAACAAACCACAAAAUCGUCCAAAAACUCUCGAAAAACAUCAUUCAUUAGAUGUUGAAAAGCUAUUGGUGCAUUUGUUAGUCCAAAAGGCAUGACGUUGUAUUCAAAAUGUCCAUACCUAGUUCGAAACAGAGUCUUCCAUUCAUCUCCUUCUUUGAUGCGUACUAGAUUGUAUGCUCCCCGAAGAUCUGUUUUUGUAUAGAUCUUAGCUUGAUUCAGCUGAUCAAGAAGUCCAGAUAUUAAAGGUAGUAGAUAUCUGUUCUUGAUGGUAAUCUUGUUGAAUCCUCGAUAAUCAACACACAUCCGCAAUGAUCCAUCUUUUUUCUUCACAAAUAGAAUUGGAGCUCCUGCCGGAGAUUUAGAAUGGCAUAUGAAAUUCUUGACUAGAUUUUCUUCAAUAUACUCCUUGAGUUCAGUCAACUCAUUUUGUGAUAAACUGUAGAUUGGUUCGAAUGGCGGUUGUGCUUCUUCUUGAAGAUCAAUUGAGUAAUCAUAAGGACGAUGUUUCGGGAGUGUAUCCGCAUUCUUUUUUUCGAAUACAUCUUGAAAUUCUUGAUAUUGGCUUGGAAUGCUACUUAAAGUCUUUUCACCAAUAGAAACAUGUGUGGCAUAAAUAAUAUAUGGUGAUUCUUUCAUAGCAGCAUGCAAGAAAGCUUUUAUACCUAUAAAUACGGGUUUAAUUGAACUGGACUUAUGACUCUCUACUUGAUUAACUACACUGUUAGUUAUACUUUUAGAGAAAGUAAGAGUUCAAAAAAUCCAAUCUAUUUGAGGGUUGUAUUUUUCUAACCAUGAUAAACCUAAAAUGACUGGAUUAGAGGGAGAUCUAAUGAUAUUAAAUACUACAAAACUAUUAUGACCAUUGAUUAUUAGUUCUAUAGGAAGGAUUUUGUGAGUAAUAUCUCCAAAAAACAAUGGACGACUAUCUAUGACUUCUACAUGAACAGGUUUAGUUUUCUUUACUAAAGAUAUGUUAUGUCUUUUAGUAAAUUCUUCAUCUAAAAAAUAUGCUGAGGCUCCUGAAUCUAACAAGGCAGAGACUUUGUUUAGGUCCUAAAAUAAUAUUUAAUAUAAAACAAGGAGAGGGCUCUGAGGAGAGAAUAGGACCUUUACUAGAUGUUGUGCAAGGUUCCAGCCGCAUGGUCCCUAUUGUAGCAGGACAAACUCGUUUUUCAACAUAUUGUCUUCUUUCACAGCCAUACUCUUCAUUUUAUGAUUGCGUCAUUUCUUUGGACAAUGUUGAGUAGUGUGCUUUGGUUCUCCUCAAUAUAAAUAUAAUCCUUCUUCACGAUGAUAAGUCUUUUCUUACUGAAUAAGAGGUUUGAAAUGUAUUGCAUCAAUUUGCAUAUCCUCUACUUCCAAAUGUAUGUAUUGAAGAGGUGUUGGUGUUGCCAUUGAAUUAUAGUAACGUUGAGGUCCACUUGUAUGGUUCUCAGAUCGGAAUUCAAAAAGGCGAUUGUCGCACUUCACAGCAAAGUCAAUUGCUUGACUCAAUGUUUGAGGAUCAGGUAAGUUGAGCAUUAAUUUUUUUACCUCAUAUUGUAAUCCGUGGAGAAAUUGGCUAAUAAGUGCAACAUCAUCCUACUUGAUAUUAGUUGCAAGUUGUCAAAAUUGUGAAGCGUACAACGUUACUGAUCGAUUGUCUUAUCGUAAAAUAUGGAUCUUAUUGGUUGCAACACGAAUUGCAUCAUGUUCUCCAUACAUGGAUUGAAACUGUGCUAGAAAAGCCUCUAGAUUAUCUAAUAUUGGAUCUUGUCGUUCAAGAAAAGAUGAAAACCACGAUAGUGCUGAACUUGAAAGAAGCGUACCAAAUAAUCUAACUUAUGAUCCUCGAGUUGGAUAGCUUUGGAGUUGAAGUUCAAUCAGAAGUUGCACUUGAUUGAUAAAUCCUCGAAACUUAGAUCUGGUGCCAUCAAACUUCUCGGGUAGAGUAAUUCUUGGUUCUUUAACAUUUGAAGGACGUUCCACCAUGAGAGAAAGGACACGGUUUGGUACAGAUGUUGAAGCAGCUCCAACCAUUUCUAUAUCUUUACUUCCUACCAAUCUUGUUGCUCCUUGUGGUGGUAAAUUGAGUUGAUGCAUCGCAAGCAUUAAUUCCCUCAAUUGCUCUUGCAUUUGUGCCAUUGCACUCUUCAUUUUAAGAAGUUGUGCCAUGAUAACACUUAGAAAAGAGAUGAUGUCUAAUAUCGCUGAAGACAAAUAGAAGACAGUACUUAGGAACAAAGAAAAUACUAAGGAUAAUAUCAAUUUAGAAGAGGGUAAUCUGCAACUUCUAAUAUGCUUAUAUCUUAUCAUGAAAAAAAGGUAAUCCACUCUUAAUCAAGAUUAGACAAAGCUCUGAUAUUGUAGGUGCAUUCUUGUCAAUCUGUCAAGGACAAGAACUCGAUAAAAAUGAAAUUGAGACAAGUGAGCCUUCACUCAAAGAAAGGUAACAAAAUAUAAAUAAACAAGUAUGUAUAUUGAAAUAAAAACUGGAAUGGCUAUUGCCAAAAGAUAAGAAAACUAGAGACCCUUGAAACUAGACUAGAAGCAAGAAAAGAGUUGACAAGAGGGAAGAGGGGUCUCAUUCUUGUCUCUAUAUAUACUAUCUAACUAGGGGCUACGUGGCGAUGUUGUUGUGAUGUAAUACGAUUAAUAGGUGAAAGAGUAUGGAGGUUAUUAUAAUUUAGGAGAUCUUAGUUCAAAGUAUUAGAACAAAUUAUCUUAGAAGUAUAGUUAAUAGUCAAAGGGGUAGAAAAAUUAAAGGGUACCAAUGCUGCCUUUUAGAAAGGUGACUUCUAGUUACUUUGUAGUACCAUAAGUAAGGCAAAUCAAAGUAGAUUGGGAAAAUAAAUGAAAUAGGCAUCUUUAGAAGAAAAUUAAGAGUAAAUUCUAGAAAAAAGGUUACUUAGAAAAACUAGAUAUUGAUACCCGGAGAGGGCCGGUUAUGAACCAGGGUCGAAAUCAGACCCUGGGGCACAAAACCGAGUUUCGACAACGACUCCGGGGUUCUUUUGGAGAUCAAAGAAUGAGGUUUGAUAGCAGACAAAAUAGUUUUUCUAUAAACGUUGAUUUUGGAUGAUUUGGAGUUGAUAUAACUUUGUAAGAGCUUUGCAAAGUUGAGGUUUGUUUCGGAUGACUUGGAUUUUAUGAAAUAAAAUAGGUUUUACAAUUUGGGUGAUUUCAAGUGUUUUGUAAUAGAUCUACAGGUGAAAUUUUGUAUGUUUAUGGUUAUAGUUGUGUUUAAUAUGUUUGAUGAAUUUGAGCUCGAUCUAACAGUUAAAUUGAGGGAUAUUGAGGUUUAAGUGGAUCAAGGUCUUAGAAAGUAGAAUUUUAGGUCCAGUAGGUUUUUUUAAGAUUUCGUGCAAUCUACUAGUUGAAUUGGAGUGAAACUUAUGUUAACGGAUAUUAGACUUGUUUUUCUAUAUAUAGUAGAAUUUUGAGAUCAAUCGAACGGUGUAUAAGAGAGAUAUUGGCUAUGGAAGAUUGGCAUCAAGAUUGGAGAAGGAGGCCGACCAAUACCCGAGCACAUUUUUGAGGAUAUCGUCAAUUUGGUAACUCCGAUGUAUAUCAAAUUUUUUUUGUUUGUUCUUAACUUAAUUUUCUAGAAGAAUGCAAAUUUUUAGUUAAGAUAAACAGUUUAUUCAUUAGUUAUUGAGGUUUAAAUCUAUUGUAGGAUUUAUUGGAGUUUGGUUAGUAUUUGGAUUAGGGUCUGAUUUAGGGUUUGGUUUAGGAUUUAGGAUUUGGGUUAGGAUUUGAUUUAGGAUUUAGGAUUUGGAUAGGGUUUGGUUUAGGAUUUAGGGUUUGGAUUUGGAUUUGGUUAGGGAUUAAGGUUUGAUUAGGGUUUGGUUUAGGAUUUAGGAUUUGAAUUAGGAUUUGAUUAGGGAUUAAUAUUCGAUUAGGAUUUGAUUUAGGAUUUAGGAUUUGGUUUAGGAUUUAGGAUUUGGAUUAGGAUUUGGUUUAGGGUUUAGGAUUUGGAUAGGAUUUGGUUAGGGAUUAAGAUUUUAUUAGGGUUUGAUUUAAGAUUUAGGGUUUGUCUAGGAUUUGAUUAAGAUUGGAUUAGGAUUAGGAUUUGAUUAGAAUUUAAGGUUCUAUUAGAUUUUUGUUACGAUUUGAUUAAGUUUUUUUUAAUAUUCUUUUAUAUUUUUUUAGAAUUUCCUUGUGUUUCUUUUAUAACUUCAAUAAAAUUUAAUUGAGCUUGCUUAAUGUUUGAUUAUGAUUGUUAAAGUUUAAUUAUAAAUUCUCUAUAAUCUUGUUGGAUUGUUAGGACCUUUUGUUGCAAUUUUUUUUUAUCUUCCAUAGUCAGGUGCUUAGUGCAUUUGCAAGCAAGACUUCACGUAAUACGACAACGUUUUAUAGGACCUCCAAUAUGUGUUGACUUUGUAGGACACAUGCCUUGACUUAUAAGGCAAGUUUUUCUACAUGUGGGCCACAUAGUUACCUUGAUCUUCAAGGUAACAACAUGUGUGGCACAUGGCCAACUUAUUGACCACGUUUCUAAUCCAAAAAGUUAAUUAAAGACACCUAUGAAUUCAAAGUAGCAUCUAUGAAGCUUUUAGGAAGCUAACAUAUUAAAUAUUAUAUAAUUAACUUAUUUUUACCUACUUUUACUUACUUCCACCUAGUUAUAUAUGUAAUUACUAGCUUACAUGAGUAUGUCCAUGAUACAAUGCAGCCUUUUUAGAAAGGUGACUUCUACUUACUUUGUAGGGCCAUAAAUAAGACAAAACAAGGUAGAUUGGAAAAAUAAAUAGUAUAGAAAUCUUAAGGAAGAAGUUAAGAGUAAAUUCCAGUAAAAGUUAUUUAGAAAAACUAAAUGUUGAUAUCCGGAGAGGGCCGGUUAUGAACUAGGGUCGAAAUCAGAUCCUGAGGCACAAAACUGAGUCUCGACAACGACUCCAAGACUCUUUGGCAGAUCGGAGAAUGGGGUUUGAUAGAAGAUUGAAUAGGUUUUCUAUGGGUGUUUAUUUUGGGUGAUUUGAAUCUGUAUUGACUUUGUAAUAGCUUUGCAAAAUCAAGGUUUGUUUCGGAUAACUAAAUCCUAAACCAAACUCUAACCAAAUCCUAAACAAAUCCUAAAUCCUAAAUUAAAUCCUAAAUCCUAAACCAAAUCCUAAAACUUAAACUAAAUCCUUAAUCCUAAACCAAAUCCUAACCAAAUUCUAAAUCAAAUCCUAACCAAACCCUAAAUGAAACCCUAACUAAAUUCUAAAUUCUAAACCAAAUCUUAACCAAAUCCUAGUAAUUCUCAUAGUAGAUUCAAACCUCAAUAACUAAUGAUUGAACCGUUGAUCUUAACUCAAAUUUUUUAUACAUCUUAAAAACUAAGUUGAAAACAAUUAUAAAUCUUUUUUGAAAGGAUCAGAAUUAUCAAAUAGACAAUAACCUCAAAAACAUGCUCAAGUAUUGGCCAGCCUCUUUCUCCAACCUUAAUGCCAAUCUCCUAGAGCCAAUAUCUCUUCUUUUUACUAUUCGAUUGAUUUCAAAAUUCUCAUACAAAUAGAAAAACAAGUCUCAUAUCCUCUCAUUUAAAUUUCAUUCUAAUCCAAUUAAUAGAUUACGAGAAAUCUUAAAAAUUCUCACUAGACCUAAAAUUCUAUUUUCUGAGACCUUGACUCACUUAAACCUCAAUCACCCUCAAUUCAACUGUUAAAUCAAGCUAAGAUUCACAACACAUAUUAAACACACCUAUGACCAUUAACCCACAAAAUUUCACUUAUAGAUCUGUUACAAAAUUCUUGAAAUCACUAGAAACAUCAACCCUAUUUUAUUUCACAAAAUCCAAGUCAUCCAAAAACAAUCUUGAUUUUGUAAAUCUCUUACAAAGUCAUAACAACUCCAAAUUACCCAAAUCCAAUUCUUAUAGAAACCUUAUCUAGUUUGCUAUGAAAUCUCUUUCUUUGAUCUGCUAAAGAGUUGUCGAGUUGGUGUAGGUACUCGGUUUUGUGCCUCCGGGUCUGAUUUCGACCCAGGUUCAUAACCAGCCCUCUUUGGAUAUAAAUAUCUAGUUUUUUUAAGUAAUUUUUGCUAGAAUUUACUCUUAACUUCUUUCUAAAGAUGUUUAUAUUAUUUAUUUUUCCAAUCUACCUUAUUUUGCCUUAUUUUUAGUCCUACAAAGUAAGUAGAAGCUAUUUUUUCUAAGAAGAUAACAUUACUACUAAAAAUUUUACUACCUUCCUAUCUUUUAUCCAUAUUUUUUUUCUUUAUCUUUUUACUUUUCUCUUUUAUAAUAAGAUCCAUAUUAUUAUCUUUUACCAUAUAGUCAUGUUACAAUACGACACUGUACAUGUAGAAGUCAUAGAUGGUCAAUUUCUGUCUACUGGAAAUGUAACCUAUGAGAGUGUUCCUUUAGAUGUAAUAAUUAAAGACCAUAAAAGCAUAGUAGUAUUUAAUGUAAUAAGAUCUUUCUUUAAUCUGAUUAUUUUAGGAUUAUUGUGGCUAAAAAACUAUAAUCCUCAAAUAGAUUAGAUUUCUUGUAGCCUUAAUUUUUUUGAUAGUAUAAUCUAAAAUCGAAUUAGUAAAGUAGAAGUACAAAAGUCUAGUAGUUCCAAAUCUUUACUGGUAGGUGCGAGAGCUUUCAUGCAUAUUGCAAAAGAAGGAUCAUCUUUUGUUAUAUAUGCAAUACCUAUUUUUAAUGGUAAGAAAAUGUCAAGUGGUAUUCCUAGCCAAUAUGGAGAAUUCUCAGACAUUUUUGAAAUAAAGAAUGCAAAUAUUCUUCCAAAGUAUCGACCUUAUGAUUGUUCAAUUGAUUUAGAUGAAAGAACUCAAUCACCAUUGGAACCAAUGUAUAGCUUAUCGUAGAAUAAAUUGGCUGCAUUAAAAAAAUACAUUGAUCAGAACUUUGUAAAGAACUUCAUAUGCCAUUCUAAAUCUCCAACUAGAUCUCCUAUCUUAUUUGUGAAGAAGAAAGAUAAUUAUUUGCAGAUGUGUGUGGAUUAUCUAAAAUUCAAUAAGAUCACCAUCAAAAAUAGGUAUCUUUGAUUUUAAGACUUCUUGACCAACUCAAUCAAGCAAAGAUCUAUACCAAAAUAUAUCUACGAAGAGCAUACAACUUAGUUUGUAUCAAAAAAGAAGAUAAAUAGAAGACUACUUUUCAAACUAGGUAUGGACAUUUUGAAUAUAAUAUCAUGUCUUUUGGACUCACAAAUGUACCGACUACUUUUCAACAUCUUAUGAAUGAUAUUUUUUGUGAGUUUUUAGAUGAUUUUAUCGUUUGCUAUUUAGACGACAUUCUAAUCUACUCUAAGAACAUAGAAGAAUAUAAACUUCAUAUUUGUUGGUAUUACAGAAACUUAGAGAUGCAGAAUUAUAUGCCAAGUUAGAAAAGUGUAUAUUCCAUACUACUCAAGUUGACUUUUUUAGGAUACAUCAUUUUCAACUAAGGCCUUAUGAUGGAUCCAAAGAAGGUCCAAACUAUCAUAGAUUAGAAGAUUCUAAGAAUAAUACAAGAUAUGCAAUACUUUUUAGGCUUUAUUAAUUACUACCAAAACUUCAUCAAGAACUUUUCUUAAGUUGUAGCUCCACUUACACAUUAGACUUGUCAAGACAAACUCGAGAAGAAUAAAGAAACAAAAGCAUCAUUUGAUGUUUUAAAGAAAAAAUUUAUUUCUAUACCAAUUUUAUAUUGUGUCAACUUUUGCAAGGCAUUUUUUAUGGAAACAGAUACAUCACACUUUGCUAUGGAUACCGUAUUGUCACAAAUGGAAACAGAUGAUAAACUCCACCUAGUAGCUUUCUAUUCUAAAAAAUUUUCAGUAGUUAAAAUUAAUUAUGAGUUCAAUGAUAAAGAGCUUCUUACAAUCAUGGAUUCAUUUCAAGAAUAGCGCCACUAUUUAGAAGGCGCUUCAAAUCCUGUUAUCAUGUAUACAAAUCAUAAGAACCUUGAGUACUUCAUGUUAGCAUAUGUUUUGAAUCGUUUUCAAGCCCGUUGGAGCAUGUUUUUAUCCAGAUUCAAUUUCAAGAUCACUUAUCAAUUUAGAAAACAACAAGGUCUAUUAGACGCCCUUUCUAGAUAUUCUUAUCUUAUACCAAAAGAAGGAGAUACAUAUUUUCAUCAAUAAAGAAUGAUUCUCUUGAAGUCUAAGCAUUUUCAUCUUUGAGCAAUAAAAUCAACAUUGACUGUUGAUUCAAUCUUUAUCAAGCAAAUUUAAUUAAGUAUCAUGAUAUUAAGAAUCUCUCUUCUAAGACUUAUGAUAAUUCAAAGUUCAAGUUCAAAAACAACCUUCUCAUUUCCAAAGAACUCCUAUAUGUUAUAGAAAGAAAAGCUCGUUUAUGUAUUCUUUAAGCAUGUCAUGACUUUUAAGAGUAAGAUAUUUUUGAUACAAUAAGACUUUAGAGCUUAUAUUUAGAGAUUUUUCGUCGCCACAAAUGUGAAAGGCGAUAAAAAAAUUUGUACAAUUAUGUGAUAUUUGUUCAAGAUUCAAAUCUCCUUGCCAUAGAUCUUAUGGAUUACUUCACCUUUACAAAUUCUAGAACAAUGAUAGUCUUCUAUUUCUAUGGAUUUUAUCACGAACUUUUUAGUCUAACAUUUACAUGAUUCUAUAUUUGUAAUUGUAGAUUACUUCACCAAAAUGGUACAUUUUGUAUCAUGUAUAAAAUCUAUUUUAAGUGAAGAAACAACUAAGUUUUUUUAUUGACAAUAUCUAUUGCUAUCAUUGAUUAUUAAAGGAUAUUAUAUUGGAUAGGAGUACUCAAUUUAUAUCAAGAUUCUAAAAAAUCUUAUUUAAGAUUUAAAAGGUAGAUAUAAAGCUUUUUUUAACUUUUCAUUCUCAAACUGAUAGGUAAACAAAAUGGAUGAAUCAAAUUUUGAAAUAGUAUUUGAGGUGAACCAUAAACUAUCAUGAAGAUGAUUGGACAAUCCUUUUGCCAAUAGCACAGUUUGUAUACAAUAAUUUGAUACAUUUUUCUAUUCAACAAACAUCUUUAUUUAUUAAUUAUGGAUAUCAUUCACAAUUAGAUACUUUUUACUUUUUAAAAGUUAAUAAUCUUAACGUAAAAGAUUAAGCAAUUUACUUAUUAAAGCUACAUGUAAUGAUAAAUUUAUAAUUAAAAGAAGUUCAAGAAUGGCAAAAAAUCAACGUUGAUGCCUAUCACAAGGAGCAACCACAAUUCAACAUAGGUGACAAGGUAAGGUUAUUUCAUUGCAAUAUCAAGACUACUCGUCCUUGUAAUAAGUUGGACUAUCAUAGGCUGAGACCUUUUUCUAUUUGUGAAUAAAUCAAUCAUAUUGCUUAUUGAUUACAUCUACCAGAGCCUAUGAAGAUCCACCUUGUAUUUCAUGUUGUUGUGUUGUGGUUUGGCUGCUAUAUGAAAAUAAUUUAACUAUGUACUUAAUAUAUAAUUUACUAACUAACAUGGUGAGAGCCAUGUUAGUAGAUUUUAGUUGAUUGUAGAAUAUAAUUUGAUUAUUACCCUGAAAAGAAGUUGUUUAAAAAGAUUACUAUUGAAUUUUUAUAACUUUAAUUUCUUUUGAUAGUGGCUUUUAAGAUUGAUUUUGAUUGAUAGUAACUUCUAAAUAUUUAGAGUCACCUUUAUUAAACAAUGAUGACAUUUGAAAAUUUAUUUUGGGUUUUUUACUUGGUGUUAAGAGCAUAAAUUAUGUAAAUCUUAUAAGAAAAAGAGUUGAAGAAGGAUUUCAAUAACAAAGGGAGUAAUUAAGGCACCAAUAUAGAUGAAUGGAGAUGAAUGAUGAAAAUCUCCAUUCCAAUUGAUCAAAAAUCAUGACCAAUAGGCUUUGAGGAGGCUGUCCGAGGCCAUAUUAGAAAAUAGGGUUAGUUUUUUGGAACCAUUUGAACUUUGAAGACUAGGAUUAAAAAGUUUAGGUUUUUGGCUAUGGUUUUGGUACAAAUCUUGUAUAAUUUGGAAUUUAUAUGAAGGAGAUAUAGGCGCUCAAACUUAAGGUAUUGAUUUAGGAGCUACUGUCUUUCCUUUUGACAUAACGCACGCGUAUGGAGAGAAAUUGAAGAUUGACAACUGCGACUAGAAAAAGUACUUUUGCGACUACACUCUUUAUAUAUUGCUUACUAGAUUCUAAGUUGGAGUGAAGGAGAUAUUGGAUUUUAAAGUCAUCACAUGCAAUCUAAGGGUAGUAAGUGACCUGAUUUACUAGUGGUUGUAUCUUGAGCUAUAUCUUGAGUAAUUUGACAAGGUUUUGGCUCAAAAUUCCAAAGAAUGUGUAUAUUCAUGUUAGUAAACUUUAUACAUAAAUUUGAUGUUAUUUGAGUAUUGAAUUCUUGAUAUAUUAAGAAAAUAGUACUCAAGUGCUUGUAAAUUAGAGUUUAGAGUAUCUGCUAGGAUAUCUUAGAUGCCAAAAGAUCGGCAAUGAAUUUACAAUUGGUUUUUUUUAUAAUAAAAGUUAAAGGUGAAUUCUAUCUAUUCUAUAAAUUUGAAAAAAAUUAAAUGGAUAGAUCAAGAGUUAUGAAUUUUUAAAGUUUAGGAAGAAAAAACUUUUUGUGGGAAAAAUAUGUUUUGAAGGAAUUUUGCUAUAUUUUGAGUUUUAUGCAAAUUAAAAGAGUUUUGGAAGCUAAGACAAGAUACAUAUAAAAGUUUAAGCUAAACUCUCUAUAGCUAGAUAUCCGAUUUAUUUCUAGAUAGUAAAUCAUACAAUACAAUAACAUGUCCCUUCUUGAGUCAUAUAAGAUAGUGAAUAUUUUGAGAAGAAGACAAAUGCUACCUCCUCCUAUAGAAGUAGAUAAUAAUCAAGAAUUCAAGGUGGAAGAAGUUUUAGACUCAAGGCAGCACCAAAAUAGGUUAGAAUAUCUUAUUCAUUGACAUGGAUAUGAUAUUAAUGAAUGCACAUGGGAGCCAUCAAAGAAUCUUCAAAUGCAACAAAGAAAGUUGAAACUUUUCAUCAAAGAAAUCCAUCAAAAUCAAAAUGAAGAAUAGUAAAUCUUUGCUAUAAAAGAAAUAAGAUCAAAAGAAGAUAACAUUCUAUCUUUUAUCUUUAUUUGUAGCUUGUGUAUAUUUGUAAUGCUAAGGAGAUGGAGAAUCAACAACGAAGAGAUUCAAUUCGAGAGCUUUCAUUUGCAAAUUUAUUACAUGAGACAUUCUGAUUGUCACAACCUUCAAGAUGAUAGAAUCAAAAUAAACAUCUUCAAGAACAACUUGUCCUUCCUUGAAUAGAUAGUGAAAUACAACGUAUUUGGUAUCACGACCUUAGAAGAGACUCCUACUGUUUGAUGAUUUUAUUAGAGGUAGGAAUAAUUCCUAACGGUGUUCCAAAUAUAUUAUUUGAAAGAAGUAACGAAGGCCUUAACAACAAUUAAAUAACAAGGUGGUCUUCUUGUCUUAGUAUAGCAUACUAUCGAUGGUUGAGAGGACCUAUCAACCAUCUUUAAAGAAAUUAAAGAUCAGAGUAUGUGACAAAUUCAAUUUGCUGCAUCUUUGACUUCCUCAAUAUAUGAAGACUGCUCCUCAUGGAACUCGUUCCUAGAAUGGGAGAUAAUAUCAUGGAUAUAUAUAUUUAUUUUAAUAAUAACUUAUAUAAUUAGGUAGAAAUAAGUAAAUAUAGAUUAAUUUCAUAAAGUCUUGUAGUAAAGCUUCUUUGAAGCUUCAUAAACACGGUUUUGAUUUUUGAAGUGUUUGUAAGUCAGUAACUUUGCCAACAAGAUAAUCACAUGUUGAUAGCUUGUAGAACAAGCUAAUUCCUCAUAAUAACUUAUGGAACAAGCUAACCAUGUGGUGUAUAUAUUGAUAAUUUGCCUUAUAAGUUAAGGCAUGUGGCUAUCAAAGUCAAUAUGUUUUGGAGGUCCUAUAGGACAUCUCCAUAUAGAUCUUAAUUAAGAGUAUAUAUAGAGAUAAAAGUGAAGCCUUUUUCAGUCUUAUCAAUGUCAUUUUAGUAAUUAGUCUUGUUUCAAGACUUUUUAAUCUUCUUAUUUUUGACAAUAGCCAUUCUAGUUAGUAUUACAUUAUCUUUUGAGUGACUUUCUAGUCAUCUUCAAUGACACAAGUGUAUAUCAAGAAUUCUCUUUUUUUGAGAUUCAUGUCCUUGAGAGUUUAACAAGAGUGCUAACAUAUUAUUUUUGUCUUAUUUUAGAUAUAAGUGGAUUAUUCCACUUCUAUUAUAAUAUUUUGAAGGUUGUGGAUUAUUCACCUUUUAAACAAAAAGAUCUUAUUUUCUAACAUUGAUCUUUUCUUUCUUUGAGAUUCAUGUCUUUGACAAAAGAUGAGUCGAUACUAUCUUUUCAAGAAGCCAAUGGUUAUUUGCACUGACCAUUGAUCCUUAAUACAUGAUUUGCAUCUGAAAAAUAUAAAAUUAUGACAUCAUCAUUGAAAAGAAAGUUGUAGCUUUUUGAUAUCAUACUUGAGUAUAAGCAAGGAUGACAACAUAAUAUACUAGAUAGUUUAUCAUAGAGACCAGACUUGAAAGACAAAUCAAAAAAUAAGACAGUAGUAGCUACUUUUAAUAGUAUCAUUUCAAAUCUAAUCAAAUAGAGAGAAUAGAAAGAAGCUAUGCAAUAAGAUGCUUAUUUUAAGAUGAUUAGUAUUUUGCUAAAGAUAAGUAAUAUAUAAUAUCAAGAUUACACUCUUAGUGAUGGCUUGCUCUAUUUUAAGAAGUAAAUUUAUGAAUCUAAUAAUACUAAAUUUUGAAUAUGGAUACUUUAGCAGGGACAUGACAUCUUAAUAUUUGGACAUCUAGGACAAGAAUAGAUUCUAAAAUAGAUCUCAAAGACAUGAUUUGGAACAAGUUUGAAUUAUGAUGUUUGAGCCUUUGUAUACUCUUGUGAAUCAUGUCAAUGUAACAAAACUUGCAACACAAUAUCUUCUAGAUUAUUGCAGCCAAUUUUCCUACCUAUGGCAUAUUGGGAGCAUGUGACUAUGGAUCUCAUUACAUGUUUGAUGUAGACACCUUAUAAUCCUACCACAAUUUCUAUCUUUAUGGAUCGAUUUUCAAAGAAACUUCACCUGAUUGUGGUACACUCAAAUAUUCAUGCCUUAAUGCUUGUAUGAGUCUUCUUUGGUACCGUCUUUUAUCACCAUAGAUUAUCUUGUGUCAUCAUUUUAGACUGAGAUCUAUGCUUCAUGGAAAGUUUAUGGUAAGCCUUAUGCAAGCUACUAGAUAUACGACUUGUCAUGUCUACAACCUUCCAUCUCUAAAGAGAUAAGAAAAUAAAGCAUGCAAAUUGGACCUUAAAAGAUAUAUUGCAGGUACUUGUGAUGGUUCAUCAUAAUGAUUGAGAUGAAUACUUGAUGCCCAAGGAAUUUUCUUACAAGGAUAGUAUUUAAAUAAGUACUAGUCAUUUACUAUUUUUUCUUAAUAUUGAUCAGUAUCUAAUUAUGCCAACAAUUCUUCAUUGUUCCAUCAACUCCAACAACCUGACAUUGGAGGAAUUCAUACAACAAUUUAUAACGGUCUUACCAGAGGCACAACACUGUUUCAUUAUUGCAUAGAAUUAAUAGAAGCAAUAUGUGGAUAAUCAUCUAUAAUACAAGACCUUACGGGAGGAUGAUCAGGUGUUGUUUUUCAAUGCCAACUUGCCACUUGCUACAUCAAUCCAAAUCUGUAAACUAGCAUCUUGAUGGCUUAGAUCUUUUACAUUUUUGUAGUAUUUUUUGAUGUUACAUAUUGUUGUCGUAAUGUGUGAAGUCUUGCUUGAGAAUGCUCCGGGCACCUGGCUGUAGAAAGAAGAAUUGAAAUUGUAAUAAUAAAAUCUUAAUUCUAAUAGAAUACUAACAACGCUCUAAUUAGACUAUAAUAAUGGUAAAUAAACGUAAUCAAAUUCAAAACAACUCAAAGAAAUUUCAAACAAACAAUAAAAUUCUUAAAAAAAUAUUAGAAUGAUCAAAAAUAUUACUCAAAUAUAUGUCAAUUCAACCUUAAUUUAAUUCUAGUUAAAAUCCUAUUGAAUUUCACUCAAACUUUAGACCAAACCUAAUUAAAUCUUAAACCCUAAUAAAUCCUAAAUCCUAAGUCAAAUCCUAAACAUACCUUAAAUUAAACCCUAAAUCAAACCCUAUUUCAAAACCUAAAUCCUAAACCAAAUCCUAAAUCAAACCCUAAACCAAACCCUAAAUCCUAAUCUAAACUCUAAUCCAAAUCCUAAACUCUAAACCAAAACUUAAAUCAAAUCCUAAUUCAAACCCUAAAUCAAAUCCUAACCAAACCCUAAUCCAAACCCUAAUCCAAAGCCUAAAUCAAACCCUAACCAAACCCUAAUCCAAACCCUAAACUCUAAAUCAAAUCAUAAAUCGAACCCUAGCCAAACCCUAAUCCAAAUCCUAUUAAUUCCUAUGACAGAUUUCAACCUCAAUAUCUAAUGAAUAAACCGUUGAUUUCAAUUCAAAAUUUGCAAACUUCUUAAAAAUUAAGUUUAAAACAAUUAAAAAAAAAUUUGAAAAGGAUCGGAGUUACCAAAUUGACGAAAACCUCAAAAAUGUGCUUGGGUAUUAGCUGGCCUCCUUCUCCAAUCUUGAUGCCAAUCUUCCAAAGCCAAUUUCUCUUCUUUGCGCAGUUCGAUUGGUUUCAAAUUUCUCAUGGACAUAGAAAAACAAUUCUAAUACCGUGUCACAAAAGUUUUACUCCAAUCCAACUAGUAGAUUGCAUGAAAUCUUAAAAAACCUCACUGGACCUAAAAUUCUACUUUCUGAGAUCUUGACCCGCUUAAACCUCAAUAUCUCUCACUUCAACCGUUAGAUCGAGCUCAAAUUCACAACAUGUAUUUAACACAACUAUAGUCAUAACCCUAAAAAAUUUCACCCGUAGAUCUGCAACAAAACUCUCACAAUCACUCAAAACAUAAUCCUAUUUUAUUUCAUAGAACCCAAGUCAUCCGAAACAUAUCCCACUUUGCAAAUCUCUUAAAAAGUCAUAUCAACUCCAAAUCACCCAAAAUCAAUGCCUAUAGAAACCCUA